RNAcentral lists this long non-coding RNA (301 nucleotides) under Androctonus crassicauda. The record is from RNAcentral. Lineage: Eukaryota; Metazoa; Arthropoda; Arachnida; Scorpiones; Buthidae.
GACAUACUUAUCAGAAUCCACUUUUUCAAAUAUGAACGUCAUAAAAAAUCAAGAAACCAAAUUACAAACGAUCAUUUGGAUCAAGGCUGUCCAACUUGCGGCCCAACAUAAAAUCGUAAACUUCCUUAAAGUAUUGAGAUUUUUAUUUAUCUUAUUAUUGUUUUUAUUUUUUCAAAUUCUCCGUAACAUCAAGAAAUAUCCCACUGAUAAAGAAAAUAAUUUGUUUCAUUUUCGUACUAAAAAUAUAUAAAGAAAAUAAUAAAAUUGAUGGACUUUUUAUUAUUUAAAUACCUAUCUACAC